Molecule: non-coding RNA, 102 nt
Organism: Bacillus thuringiensis serovar israelensis ATCC 35646
Lineage: Bacteria; Bacillati; Bacillota; Bacilli; Caryophanales; Bacillaceae
Source: Rfam
AAAUAAAUAGUUAGCUACACUCAUAUAAUCGCGGGGAUAUGGCCUGCAAGUUUCUACCGAAGUACCGUAAAUACUUUGACUAUGAGUGAGGACGAAUAUAUU